Molecule: ribosomal RNA, 551 nt
Filed under: uncultured archaeon
Lineage: Archaea
Description: bacterial SSU rRNA
Rfam family: Archaeal small subunit ribosomal RNA
Source: RNAcentral
CGGGGUGCAGCAGGCGCGAAAACUUUGCAAUAGGCGAAAGCCUGACAGGGCUAUCCCGAGUGCCAUCCGCUGAGGAAGGCUUUUACCCAGUCUAGAACGCUGGGGGAAUAAGGAGAGGGCAAGUCUGGUGUCAGCCGCCGCGGUAAUACCAGCUCUUCGAGUGGUGUGGAUGUUUGUUGGGCCUAAAGCAUCCGUAGCUGGCUAAGUUAGUCCCUUGUUAAAUCCACCGAAUUAAUCGUUGGAUCGCGGGGGAUACUGCUUGGCUAGGGGACGAGAGAGGCAGACGGUAUUUUCGGGGUAGGGGUGAAAUCCUAUAAUCCCGGGAAGACCACCAGUGGCGAAGGCUGUCUGCUAGAACGCGCCCGACGGUGAGGGAUGAAAGCUGGGGGAGCGAACCGGAUUAGAUACCCGGGUAGUCCCAGCUGUAAACGAUGCAGACUAGGUGUUUGAACGGCCACGUGCCGUUCUAGUGCCGCAGGGAAGCUGUUAAGUCUGCCGCCUGGGGAGUACGAUCGCAAGAUUGAAACUUAAAGGAAUUGGCGGGGGAGCAC